CGACCGGCGCACGGGUGAGUAACGCGUAUCCAACCUGCCCACCACUUGGGAUAACCUUGCGAAAGUAAGACUAAUACCCAAUGAUAUCUCUAGAAGACAUCUGAAAGAGAUUAAAGAUUUAUCGGUGAUGGAUGGGGAUGCGUCUGAUUAGCUUGUUGGCGGGGUAACGGCCCACCAAGGCAACGAUCAGUAGGGGUUCUGAGAGGAAGGUCCCCCACAUUAGAACUGAGACACGGUCCAA
This 241-nucleotide ribosomal RNA is filed under the name uncultured bacterium. RNAcentral's name for it is "partial 16S ribosomal RNA". It matches the Rfam family "Bacterial small subunit ribosomal RNA", at positions 92 to 334 of the family's 1533-position model. The record is from RNAcentral.